Molecule: ribosomal RNA, 222 nt
Filed under: Triticum aestivum (bread wheat)
Lineage: Eukaryota; Viridiplantae; Streptophyta; Magnoliopsida; Poales; Poaceae
Description: partial small subunit ribosomal RNA
Source: RNAcentral
AUGUCCUCCAAACGUGUGAACCUGGCUCUCCUCACGAGAUGGCUUUGGCGCAUUGUGAAUGGCGAGGGUGGCAUGUGGCUACAAAUCAUCCUGAGCAAAUACUUGCGCGGCCAACCCCUUGCCUUUUGCAUUAGGUCGGGAGGCUCCCAGUUCUGGCAGUCCGUUGAUACGUCCAUUUUGCAUCAUGUUUUCCUACUGUUAUUUAUGAUGUUUUAUGCGUAA